CAAAACCCCCAAUCCUAGAAAGACCUUAGAGUCUCUAAAUAAAUAAAUAAAUAAUUCCAAUAAAAAUAAAACAUUAAAUCAAUAAUACACAUAAAUUAAGUUAAGUAAUAGAGAAUGAAAAACUAAUAUUAUCACAAUAGAAAAAUUCAAAUAUGGAAAACAAUCCCCAAAAAAGAAAGAGAACAUCUACAUAAAAAGUACUGAAAAGGAAAAGAUAUAAAUACACCAAUCUAGAACAUAUAAUAAACACCCAAUAUUAUUCCUUUUGCAUCAGGAGCUUAUAAGAAAAAUCAUAAAUAAAUUUAUUACCAUAAAUAAAAACACACUAAACUAUAAAAAAUUUAUGAAACCCGAAACCUUGUGAUCUAACCAUAAACAGAUUAAAAAAGAACCAAUUACUAAAUGUUACAAUAUUUUUAAACGAAUUAUGACUAGAAACAAAAAGUUAAUCGCACAAGGAAAUAACUGGUUUUCGAAGAAAUAUAUCUAAGUAUAAAAAAAUCAGAAAAUACUUCUAAAACAAGAAAUUCUGAAUCUACAACAAAGACAAACUAAUUGUGAUAAGAUAAUUAGUUUAAAUGAAAACAGCCAUAAUCUAAAUUAAAAGAAAAACAAUAUUUUUAAAAAAUAAUAAAAAGUAGACCUAAAAACAGCCACCUUCUAACAAAAACGUAAUUGUUUACUACAACACAUUUAAAAUAAAAAAUUCCAAUUUCAAUAAACUCAAGAUUAGAUUUCCUAAAAAGAUAUUCGAAUAACACAAAUAAUUUAAGCACUAGUAAAUAACACCCACACCCAAAGAAAAAAAACCGGCCUACAAAUAACAUAUGUAACACAAACCUAAAUAUAUAACACAAAAGCCGUUCUUCAAUCCAACCCAGGUGGGACUAAUAAAAUAAUAAUAAAAAAGUUUUAAGGAACUCGGCAAAAAAGGAACUCGACUGUUUACCAAAAACAUAGCCAAUAGAAAAAAUUAUUAAUGGUGAUGCCUGCUCAAUAAUUAAACAUAAACAAUAAAAAAUAAUUAAAUAGCUGCGGUAACACCUGACCGUGCAAAGGUAGCAUAAUAAAUCGCCUACUAAUUAUAGGAUAGAAUGAAGGUAAUACGAAGACCCAACUGUCUCAAAACUAAACAAUACAAAAUAGAAUGUGUGUGCAAAUCCACACCAAGACGGCAAGACGAUAAGACCCUAAGAACUUUACCAAAAACUUAAAAACAAAAACGUAAGUCAUAAGUUUCGUUGGGGCAACGAUCUUUUAAAAAGUAACUAAGAUUAACUAAUCACACUAAAAAAAAAUCAAAUUAAAAACAAGACGAUAAGACCCAUUAUAAAAAGAAAAUAAUGAUAACAUAAUAAAAGUUCCCUAGGGAUAACAGCGUUAUAUCGUUUCCAGAGAAUCAUCCAAACGAUGUUUGCGACCUCGAUGUUGAAUUGCUAUAUCCCAAAAUGUAGCCACAUUUAAGGGUUGGACUGUCCUUCCAUUAAAAUAGCCCAUGAUUUGAGUUCAGACCGAGGCAACUCAGGUCAGAUUCUAUCUACUGUCCCAAAAAUGAGAUCUGAUAUAAGUACGAAAGGAAAAUAUCUACUACCCCAUAAUAACACACGAAAAAAAAUUAAGUUUAUAAAACAUAAUACUCUACUACCUAC
RNAcentral lists this ribosomal RNA (1649 nucleotides) under Oopsacas minuta. RNAcentral's name for it is "large subunit ribosomal RNA". The stretch from base 1150 to 1545 matches the Rfam family "Bacterial large subunit ribosomal RNA", at positions 2049 to 2651 of the family's 2925-position model. Lineage: Eukaryota; Metazoa; Porifera; Hexactinellida; Lyssacinosida; Leucopsacidae. The record is from RNAcentral.